AGAGAUAGUGGCGAAACGGGUGAGUAACACGUGGGUAACCUGCCCAUAAGAGGGGGAUAACAUCCGGAAACGGUGCUAAUACCGCAUAGUUUCUUGGUCGCAUGAUCGGGAAAGGAAAGACGGCCUUUGUGCUGUCGCUUAUGGAUGGACCCGCGGCGUAUUAGUUAGUUGGUGAGGUAACGGCUCACCAAGACGAUGAUACGUAGCCGACCUGAGAGGGUGAUCGGCCACAUUGGGACUGAGACACGGCCCAAACUCCUACGGGAGGCAGCAGUAGGGAAUCUUCCGCAAUGGACGAAAGUCUGACGGAGCAACGCCGCGUGAGUGAGGAAAAGGUUUUCGGAUCGUAAAACUCUGUUGUCAGAGAAGAACAAGUUGGAGAGUAACUGCUCCAGCCUUGACGGUAUCUGACCAGAAAGCCACGGCUAACUACGUGCCAGCAGCCGC
RNAcentral lists this ribosomal RNA (447 nucleotides) under uncultured bacterium. Its description in RNAcentral is "bacterial SSU rRNA". It matches the Rfam family "Bacterial small subunit ribosomal RNA", at positions 88 to 518 of the family's 1533-position model. The record is from RNAcentral.